AACCAUAGAAACCUGCGGAGUACCUGCGGAAGGAUCAUUACAGAGUUCAUGCCCUCACGGGUAGAUCUCCCACCCUUGAAUACUAUACCUUUGUUGCUUUGGCGGGCCGCUUUGGCUACUGGCUCUGGCUAGUAAGUGCCCGCCAAAGAACCCCAAAACUCUGAAUAUUAGUGUCGUCUGAGUACUAUAUAAUAGCUAAAACUUUUAACAACGGAUCU
Molecule: unclassified non-coding RNA, 218 nt
Filed under: soil metagenome
Description: partial contains 5.8S ribosomal RNA, internal transcribed spacer 2, and large subunit ribosomal RNA
Source: RNAcentral